This 21-nucleotide microRNA is filed under the name Helianthus annuus (common sunflower). The record is from RNAcentral. Lineage: Eukaryota; Viridiplantae; Streptophyta; Magnoliopsida; Asterales; Asteraceae.
UGGAGCCAAGGAUGACAUGUC